This 398-nucleotide ribosomal RNA is filed under the name uncultured bacterium. RNAcentral describes it as "bacterial SSU rRNA". It matches the Rfam family "Bacterial small subunit ribosomal RNA", at positions 358 to 773 of the family's 1533-position model. The record is from RNAcentral.
GGAAUAUUGGACAAUGGGCGCAAGCCUGAUCCAGCCAUGCCGCGUGAGUGAUGAAGGCCGUAGGGUUGUAAAGCUCUUUCAGUAGGGAAGAUACUGACGGUACCUACCGACGAAGCCCCGGCUAACUUCGUGCCAGCAGCCGCGGUAAUCCGAAGGGGGCUAGCGUUGUUCGGAUGUACUGGGCGUAAAGCGCACGUAGGCGGAUUGGUCAGUUAGGGGUGAAAUCCCGGAGCUCAACUCCGGAACUGCCUUUAAUACUGCCAGUCUAGAGUCCGGAAGAGGUGAGUGGAACUCCUAGUGUAGAGGUGGAAUUCGUAGAUAUUAGGAAGAACACCAGUGGCGAAGGCGGCUCACUGGUCCGGUACUGACGCUGAGGUGCGAAAGCGUGGGGAGCAAAC